GCCACCAAAACCUGAUGAUGUUGCAACUAUUUGCUAUACAAGUGGUACAACUGGAACCCCAAAGGGGGCUGUCUUGACCCAUGCAAACUUCAUUGAAAAUGUUGCUGGGACCACUAUGGAUGAAAAAUUUGGCCCUUCUGAUGUUUAUAUAUCAUAUCUCCCUUUAGCACACAUUUAUGAGCUGAC
This is a long non-coding RNA of Arachis stenosperma, 186 nucleotides long. RefSeq lists it as uncharacterized. NCBI's taxonomy places the organism in Eukaryota, Viridiplantae, Streptophyta, Magnoliopsida, Fabales, Fabaceae. The transcript has 3 exons. The record is from RefSeq and is a predicted model, not a curated record.